This 940-nucleotide ribosomal RNA is filed under the name uncultured bacterium. Its description in RNAcentral is "bacterial SSU rRNA". It matches the Rfam family "Bacterial small subunit ribosomal RNA", at positions 37 to 967 of the family's 1533-position model. The record is from RNAcentral.
UGGCGGGUGCUUAUAAUGCAGUCUUAGGAGAACGUCCUCUUCGGAGGAUUAGUAAACUGGCGAACGGGUGAGUAACGCGUAGGCAACCUGCCCGGCAGACCGGGAUAACAUUGAGAAAUCGGUGCUAAUACCGGAUGAUGUCACACCUUGUAUUUGGUAUGACCAAAGGGGGCUUCGGCUCGUACUGUCGGAUGGGCCUGCGUCUGAUUAGCUUGAUGGUGAGGUAACGGCUCACCAUAGCGACGAUCAGUAGCUGGUCUGAGAGGAUGAUCAGCCACACUGGGACUGAGAUACGGCCCAGACUCCUACGGGAGGCAGCAGUAGGGAAUUUUGCGCAAUGGGGGAAACCCUGACGCAGCAACGCCGCGUGAUCGAAGAAGCUUUGCGGAGUGUAAAGAUCUGUCAUCGGGGAAGAAUCCGUUCUUAUUCUAACAAAAUAGGAGCCUGACGGUACCCGAUAAGAAAGCCCCGGCUAACUUCGUGUCAGCAGCCGCGGUAAUACGAGGGGGGCAAGCGUUGUCCGGAUUCAUUGGGCGUAAAGAGCUCGUAGGCGGAUUGAUCAGUCAAUACUGAAAUCCCCCGACUCAAUCGGGGAACUGGUGUUGAUACUGUCAAUCUUGAGUGGGAGAGAGGCAAGCGGAAUUCCUGGUGUAGCGGUGAAAUGCGUAGAUAUCAGGAGGAACACCGAAGGCGAAGGCAGCUUGCUGGCUCCAUACUGACGCUGAGGAGCGAAAGCGUGGGGAGCAAACAGGAUUAGAGACCCUGGUAGUCCACGCCGUAAACGAUGAGUACUUGAUGGUGGAGGAUUCGACCCCUUCACUGUCGGAGUUAACGCGUUAAGUACUCCGCCUGGGGACUACGACCGCAAGGUUGAAACUCAAAGGAUUGACGGGGACCCGCACAGCGGUGGAUCAUGUGGUUUAAUCGAUGCACGCGAAGA